UCUGGGGGAUGCCAUGAACUCAACUUGAUAGAGAAAGUGAUAGGAAAAAGUGGUGAAGAAAAUGCAAGGAAAUAACACUUUAUUUAUAGGAAAAAAUUUAGGUUGUACACCAAUGUACUUAACCCUAAUUAGUGUCGCACUUGAUUAAUUAGUCUUAGGGAGAAUUAGGGUUUGAAUUAGGUCAUAACUACCAAACUCUAAU
Molecule: long non-coding RNA, 202 nt
Filed under: Lathyrus oleraceus (garden pea)
Lineage: Eukaryota; Viridiplantae; Streptophyta; Magnoliopsida; Fabales; Fabaceae
Description: Pisum sativum (pea) long non-coding RNA (PSAT_LNC019328)
Source: RNAcentral